This 467-nucleotide ribosomal RNA is filed under the name uncultured bacterium. RNAcentral's name for it is "partial 16S ribosomal RNA". It matches the Rfam family "Bacterial small subunit ribosomal RNA", at positions 28 to 506 of the family's 1533-position model. The record is from RNAcentral.
GACGAACGCUGGCGGCGUGCUUAACACAUGCAAGUCGAACGGAAAGGCCCUGCUUUUGUGGGGUGCUCGAGUGGCGAACGGGUGAGUAACACGUGAGUAACCUGCCCUUGACUUUGGGAUAACUUCAGGAAACUGGGGCUAAUACCGGAUAGGAGCUCCUACUGCAUGGUGGGGGUUGGAAAGUUUCGGCGGUUGGGGAUGGACUCGCGGCUUAUCAGCUUGUUGGUGGGGUAGUGGCUUACCAAGGCUUUGACGGGUAGCCGGCCUGAGAGGGUGACCGGCCACAUUGGGACUGAGAUACGGCCCAGACUCAUACGGGAGGCAGCAGUGGGGAAUAUUGCACAAUGGGCGGAAGCGUGAUGCAGCAACGCCGCGUGCGGGAGGACGGCCUUCGGGUGGUAAACCGCUUUCGCCUGUGACGAAGCGUGAGUGACGGUAAUGGGGAAAGAAGCACCGGCUAACUACGU